GACGAACGCUGGCGGCGUGCUUAACACAUGCAAGUCGAACGGAAAGGCCCUGCUUUUGUGGGGUGCUCGAGUGGCGAACGGGUGAGUAACACGUGAGUAACCUGCCCUUAACUUUGGGAUAACUUCAGGAAACUGGGGCUAAUACCGGAUAGGAGCUCUUGCUGCAUGGUGGGGGUUGGAAAGUUUCGGCGGUUGGGGAUGGACUCGCGGCUUAUCAGCUUGUUGGUGGGGUAGUGGCUUACCAAGGCUUUGACGGGUAGCCGGCCUGAGAGGGUGACCGGCCACAUUGGGACUGAGAUACGGCCCAGACUCCUACGGGAGGCAGCAGUGGGGAAUAUUGCACAAUGGGCGGAAGCCUGAUGCAGCAACGCCGCGUGCGGGAUGACGGCCUUCGGGUUGUAAACCGCUUUCGCCUGUGACGAAGCGUGAGUGACGGUAAUGGGUAAAGAAGCACCGGCUAACUACGUG
This 468-nucleotide ribosomal RNA is filed under the name uncultured bacterium. RNAcentral describes it as "partial 16S ribosomal RNA". It matches the Rfam family "Bacterial small subunit ribosomal RNA", at positions 28 to 507 of the family's 1533-position model. The record is from RNAcentral.